Molecule: long non-coding RNA, 4591 nt
Filed under: Homo sapiens (human)
Lineage: Eukaryota; Metazoa; Chordata; Mammalia; Primates; Hominidae
Description: non-protein coding lnc-TRMT61B-5:8
Source: RNAcentral
CUCCAGUGCAAACCAGUCCGGCUGCUUUAGAAACAAGUUGUUUUCUGCUUCCAGAACCACCCAGGAGCCUGCGUGAUGUCUCUUCCCCCACCCGACCCCCUCUUCCCUCUGCCGGUCUCCUUGCUCCAGGUGUGGAGCAGAGAAAAGGCUAUACCCACUGAUGAACAGGGAUCCACACCUGGGGAAGAAGCAAGUAUGACUUUCUCUCCUGUGGCUUUACACAACCUCCUUGAAAUUCCAAGAGCAACCCUCCCAGCUAAAGUCUUCUCAGAUGUGACACGGCAGGAAGAGGGUACUUCCCUGCCACCAGUUUUUUGGUUUUUUGUUUUUUUAAAAGCCGGAUACAUUCCAGAGAUAAAGUGACCAGUGCUAUUAUUCAGAAAUAUCUUUAUGAGUCAGAACAGAAGUCACCCCUGGUAGGAAUGUUUGUCAGGUUGGGAGAAGAGAAACAGGACAACUUGCCCCGCUUCUUCUCUGGUUCUAGGAUCUGCACAAGCAGAGGCGGCACAGGGUUUGGCUUCCAGUUGGGAAAUGAAGCUCCAAGGGCAGCCCUACUAUGGCGGGCUGUGUGACCUGGGCCAAGCCCCUUGACAUCUCCAGACUCGGCUUCCACAUCUGCCACCACCAGGACACUGGAUUGAAUGUUGGGUACGUUGUAAGGCAAGGGAGACACAGAAGUCCUAAAGGCAAUAAAGCUUUUCCCCACUGCCCCUCCAUCUGGACGAGUCUCCUGCCAAGCAUCUUCAAGUCCCACUUUGAAACACGAUUCUGCCACCUUCCUGUUCUGAGGAUCUGGGAAAGCAAGGGGGAAGGGGCUAUUGGGAGUCCCGCUUGCUCCAGGCCCAGACCAGGAGGCUCAGGCAGGCUUAUCUACUUCUGAUGUGGUGGGGGGCCCAGGAUGCUGCCAGGGUCUCACAGCCAUGGUCUCACAGCCACUAUCAGCCUGUCCUCAAGGGUAUAAGAGAAGCUGGAAGCCUAGAUGGGCACUGCCCUCAGGCAACUUCCAAUCCAGCCAAGAAGAAUAAAGAGUAACACACAAAAUAUUGGGGGCAUGAGGCAAUAACUGUGGGUACACCUAUAAAAACCUCUAAUUGGGCUUACCUGGUACCAGACAGUAUUUUAAUUGGAUCAUAUAUAGUGCAUUAAUUCAGUUAAUAUUCACAACACCCCUAUGAGGUAGCUACAAUUAUUAUCCCCAUUCGAUGAUGGGGAAAACUGACAUCAGAAGAGGUCAACUUGCCCAAGUUUCCAGAGCUGAAAAGCAACAGAGCUGAGAUUUCACUGCAGGUAUUCUGGCCCCAGAGUCUUGGUACAAAUAGUGUUAAUGAACAAGUCUUCUUCUGGUAAGAGCACCCCAAUUUUCCUUUGGAGAACCUCCACUUCCUCAUUUCAUGUGCCAUGGGUGACCCUACCCUUGAGCUCUUGAGGUGAACACAUGGACACACGAUCCAGUCCUGACCAAACAGAAUAUCUCACUUCCCUGGCUACAGUUAGUGAUAGGUUCAGGAUUGUAGCAAUGACCCAAGACUGGCUUCUGAGAGUCACAUUUGAGACUGUGGCUCAAACUCUUAGAGAAGCACUCGUUUUUCAACUGAGACACUACAGUCUUUACUACUCCUUGAAGACGGACUACCAGGAAGAAAGCCAACCUAGAGGGCUGCAAAGCUGAGCAGUGGAGAACAGCAAGUUCCUGAUGACAUUGUUUGAUGGCCUAAACCCCAUUAUACUUCCACUGGUUAUCUCCCUGGACUUUCCUGUUACACAGAAAUUAUCCCUUUUGUGUUGAAGCCAAUUUGAAUUGGAUAUCUGUCACUUACAACCAAAAAGGUCCAAAUGUGCUAGUGAACACAGAGCACAUACUGUGAGCAACUACUCUUUUUCUUCUUUCUUUCUUUCUUUUUUCUGAGACAGAGUCUUUCUCUGUCACCCAGGCUGGAGUGCAGUGGUGCAAUCUCGGCUCACUGCAACCUCUGCCUCCUGGGUUCAAGUGAUUCUCCUGCCUCAGCCUCCCGAGUAGCUGGGAUUAUAGACACGUGCCACCACGCCCGGCUAAUUUUUGUAUUCUUAGUAGAGACGGGGUUUCACCAUGUUGGCCAGGCUGGUCUCGAACUCCUGACCUUGUGAUCUGCCCACCUCGGCCUCCUAAAGUGCUGGGAUUACAGGUGUGAGCCACCGCGCCCGGCCCGAGCACCUAAGCUUUUCAAGACAUUUCCAGAAAAACAAAUGCAGGUAAGAAAGGAUCAGUCUUCAAAGAACUUGGAAGCUGGUGAGGGAUUACAAAGAUUCUCAAAUAACUUUAAAACAAGUCAGAACACAAUUGACAGCACAAGGCAGCUACCCGGGUUCUCUGGUUAAUGCAAAGGGUGAGAAUUUUCUAUAUUGGAUGGAACACAUCAGAAAAGUUCUCACGAAGGUGGUAGCAGUGAAAUUGGCCUCAGAAGUCUGAUAGGAUGUUGGCAGGUGAAGGCAGGGAAGCUACAGGGCAGACAGCAUGAGGAAGGGCCCAGGUUCAGGGAAGUAUGGGCAUGCAGGGGCAAGUGUAAAUUGAUGGGAUUGCCUGGGACCAGAGGAAAGGUCUAAAACGUACAGUCUGAGGCUGGGGCGGGGUGGGGAAAGGAUGGUUCUGAGGUAUCUGAAGUAUCUCCAAAUAUCUGAAGAUAUUCCCCAUGGAAAAGAAACUAGGCUUAUUUGGAGUGACCCCAGAGGACAAGACUACGACUAAAAAUGGACGCUCGCAAAUGGAGGAAGUAGACCUGACCCCUGACUAAGGAAGAUGGUGCUACCUGUUUGGGGCAAAUGUUCAAAAAGAGGCUGUGUCUGUAUGGUGGAUGCUGUUAAAAGGGACUCAGAAACCAAAUGAGAGUCUGAAUUAGCUGAGUUUAACAUUCUGUGAGUUUUGUGCCAGACUUGGGACUACUGCAGAAGACCCUGGGAGAGUUGGGAUUGAAUUCCAAAGGCAGUGCUGAUGGACACUGACUUGAGGAGCCAGGAAAGAAGGCAGGAACAGUGGUGGGGAUCACAGCCUCACCUGUAUCUGUGCACUUCUAUAAAUUCACAGACUGGGAAUUUUUAAUGUGAACUGGAUAUUAGAUGAUGACCAGGAAUUGUUUUAAUUCUGUUAGGUGGGAUAAUACCAUUCACUGUGCUGUGUAAGAUAAUGUCCAUAUUGUUUAGAGAUGCAUACUGAAGAAUAUAGGAUGAAAUGACAUAAUGUUUGGAUUUUUUAUUUUAAAUAUUUCAGCAAAAUGUGGGGACAAAUUUUAUAUACAUUAUUUUUUCACACAUAUGUGGUAUUCAUAUAUACACAAAUGUAUAUAUUACACACAUGUAUAUGUACAUACAUAUAUGGGUGUAUAUCUAUGUGGGUAUGUGUAUAUGCUACAUGCAUGUGCAUAGCUGGUUAGCAAAUAGAAUAGUUAACAAAAUAAGCCAGACACAAGAUAAUACAUAUUGUUCCAUUAUAUACUUUUUUUUUUUUUUUUGAGACGGAGUCUAGCUCUGUCACCCAGCUGGAGUGCAGUGGCACAAUCUUGGCUCACUGCAACCUCCACCUCCCGGAUUCACAAGCGAUUCUCCUGCCUCAGCCUCCCAAGUAGCUGGGAUUACAGGCCCCUGCCACCAUGCCUGGCUAAUUUUUGUAUUUUUAGUACAGACAGAGUUUCACUGUGUUGGCCAGGCUGGUCUCAAACUCCUGACCUCGUGAUCCGCCCGCCUCGGCCUCCCAAAGUGCUGGAAUUACAAGCAUGAGCCACGUGCCUGGCCUAUAUACAUUUUUUUAAGGCAAAUGAAUCUAUGAUGGUAGAAGUCAGGGCAUGGUUGGCCUUGUAGGGUCAGGGGAAGGCAGAGACGAGAGGGGUCCAAGGGCCUCUGGUGCUGGCUGAGUGCUGUUUCUAGGCUGAGUAAUGUGUGCACAGGCCUGCUGGCUCUGUGCAAACUCAUUGAGCUGUGCACAUGAUUUGUGUACCUUAUGUAUGUUUUAGACUUCAAUAAAUUCACUCCAAAAUACCACCCCCUACACACAAACACACAGACACAGACACACAGACACACACACACACAGACACACACACACACACACACACACACACACACACACACACACACACGGGGAGAGAUCUGAAGUAAGUAGGAUUCCUCCAUUGAUCAUUUCUUGAGAAGCGGGGAGAAGACAUGCUCUGGGCUAUGCUUUAAGCAAGAGUUUUCCAAACAAAUUUGCUACUUUCCAGAGUGAGAUGUUUUUUUCCCAUGACCCAUGGGGCAUAUGUCAUGGGCUGCAGCCUGAAGUUGAAAAGUCUGGUUUUAAGCUGAUCUCUCUGGUGGCAGGGUAAAGAAUGGAAGGCAACAGGAAGAGCCCAGAGAGGAGGCUGGCAGCUUGUGUCUUCUGCCAUGGUUCAGGAGAGAGGUAGGGAGACUCUGUAGCAGGGCCAGGUGACAGGAAGGCAAGUGUGCUUCAGAGAAAGAGUCCAGCUUCAUUGUGUGGGCAGGCCCUGCCACUCCAGCUGCCUGGGGUAUGCUCAGAGGGACAGGGGAGGCCUGCACAGACUCAGCCAGACACCCCAAGGACAACACACGCAGAGUGCAACCAGGUGCU